ACUCCAAGAGUUAAACAAUGAAACUUCACCCUCUUUUCUAUUUAAGCAUGUAACCUCUGUGUAUCCUAUGUAUCAAAAAUUAUAAUAAGAAACUUCUAUACCGUGGUUUUUUCUCCCUAUACUAGGGUUUUUCUACGUAAACCUCUGUGUGCAUCUUUUCUCUCUAUUUUCUUUCUUUUUCAUCACCUUUUAUCAAUUAAACCAAAGAUUUCUAAAUCUCCAAUAUUUCAAACUCAAAUUUAAAUCCACCAAUUGAAUUAAAUCCAAAUUUUAAAUCUUGAACACCUAAUUUAAAUUGGAUCAUCUUAGUCUCAAUAAUUCGAUUUUAGCCUCAACGCUCAACAUAACACCCAAAUAAUUUAAGAUAAUUAAAUUAAAAAUUACCUAAAAAUUUGAGAUGUUACAUGAGUUUUGCCCUCCCAUGUUUUAGCCAUCCUCUUCAAUGUCGCUUGUGCUCUAGUCAAACUCGAGUCCCUCUUUAAUGUUACCUCACACUCCCUUGCUUUCACCUUCAUGGUCAACGCUCGCCAAUCCACUUCCAUAACUCCUUAGGUAUAACUAUUGCAUUUUGAGCUCAAUGUCCUCACCUCUCAAGUCUAGAGGGAAGAAACUUUCCACAAUCAUGUUGUCAACUCGCCUACCUUCAACUCCACUGCUUUAUAUGUAUACCUUACACCUUCAAAACGAAUAACUCCGACUCAGUUAACUUAUGAAUUUGAAAAUACUUGUUCACUCUAAAUAACCACAAAUUUAGAUCUGUUACAUUGAACACUGUCAUCUCAACCAUCUUGAACUUGCUCCAAUUGUAUCCUCCCUCUUUGAUCUCGUUCGUUGUUUCAAUCAAUGAUAUCUCCUGCACCAAUUGUGGUGAUUCUACGAACUUCUUUGCCUCUUUGGUCCCCUACUCGACUCUUCUACCAUGGUAGACCCUGAAUUUUUGUUCAUCUGCAUCUCCAUCUCUGUAGCCAAAGUGUCACUCUUUUUUGAGUGUUUUUCGAUGUUCAUUGCUGCUGCUCUGCUAGGCUUUCACAUUCAACCGUUCUGCAUCCUUUGACAAUAUUGCAAGAGUCUCUUCCAUUUUCAGUAACUUCUUAACAUCCUACUUAGUACUUCCGGUUUCCCUAUCUGUUAUUUCCAUCCUUUCCUGCAACUUCUAUGCUAUUUCCUAAUCUUCCCAGGUUGAUUGCUUUUGUAAGAUAUUCCUUUACAAUUAUUGAUAUUUAAGAUAGGGAAAAAGCCCCAAGGCAAUACAGUCUCUCAGCCCUUCGAAAAAGGGUUGAGGCUGAGUAUCUCUCAGACUUGAAUACUGAAAACAUGGAAAAUGAAAAUACUACCCUCAGCAUAUUAUUACUCCCCACCUAAUAAACUGCGGACACAAACGACCAGCUACAGCAUUCCUCAAUCCUUGUUCCCAACAGUAAAUCUCCAUACGCUCUCAUAGUCAUAACUAACUUGCCUCCUCGGACAUUACCAUUUUAAACCUCUUGUAUUGAUACAAUAUUGGUGGGGCCUAGCAGUAGCCUUAUUUUAGAUGUAUGUUUUAAUAUUCUGUUUCAGAUAGUUUUUUCUUUCCUGUUCAGUUAAAUCUCUCACUCUAGACAUAUACAUAUAUUGGAUAUUUCUGCAUUCUUCAUCUUCCUUCCAACAUUAAUUAAACUACCAGAAGCUUUGCGAAGCUAAUCUAUUUACUUCAGAGAUGAACAUCUCAUAAUAAGUAAUAUGGGAAGUUUACCAAGAACUUUAUUUGACUUAUUUUUGUAAUACAACCUUGUGUUUCUAUGAGGGCUUUGGAGGAUUGAUCGGUUGGUCAUAUCUGAUUCUGGCAUUCAUUUCCUUGUGACUUAUGAACAGGAGAAACAACUGUGCAAAUCAAGUUACCUUCAUCAGCAUAUAUACAAAUGAAUGAAGCAGCGUGCUGCUUCUGCAUUUCGAUGUUUGCAUGUCUUAACCUUUUAUGAUAACUCCAAUGUUACAAUAUAUAUUAUAUAUUCAGCAACAUAACAUUCUUUAUCUUUGGAAACUAUGUACUUGACAUGUUCUUCCCUGAUGCUCAUAUUGUGCGGUCUCAGUGAUUGGCAUGUCCCUUAUAAAUUGUCCUUUGAUAUGAUGGCAAAUGAGAGUCCUGUUGUUGCCCCGGCAGUUUGAUUGAGUGAUGAUUUGUGCAUUGCGGAAUUAUGCAAAUCUCUUCUGUAGGGAAUUUCAGCUACAAUUAUCAUCAGCUUGCAUCGAAAAUAUGUAUGGUUGUCACUCAGUAUGAAACUUAUUGUGAUGUAAGUUUUACUCUAGAGUGAUUUUGAGAUUGUUCCUUUGAUCAUGUUUAAAAUCAUUUUAAAACAUGUAUUUAAUCACACAA
Long non-coding RNA from Benincasa hispida (wax gourd), 2353 nucleotides. RefSeq lists it as uncharacterized. NCBI's taxonomy places the organism in Eukaryota, Viridiplantae, Streptophyta, Magnoliopsida, Cucurbitales, Cucurbitaceae. The record is from RefSeq and is a predicted model, not a curated record.